RNAcentral lists this ribosomal RNA (253 nucleotides) under uncultured bacterium. RNAcentral's name for it is "partial 16S ribosomal RNA". It matches the Rfam family "Bacterial small subunit ribosomal RNA", at positions 524 to 776 of the family's 1533-position model. The record is from RNAcentral.
UACAGAGGUCUCAAGCGUUGUUCGGAUUCAUUGGGCGUAAAGGGUGCGUAGGUGGCGUCGUAAGUCGGGUGUGAAAUUUCGGAGCUUAACUCCGAAACUGCAUUCGAUACUGCGGUGCUUGAGGACUGGAGAGGAGACUGGAAUUUACGGUGUAGCAGUGAAAUGCGUAGAGAUCGUAAGGAAGACCAGUGGCGAAGGCGGGUCUCUGGACAGUUCCUGACACUGAGGCGCGAAAGCGUGGGGAGCAAACAGG